GCAAGUCGAGCGAUUUACUUCGGUAAAGAGCGGCGGACGGGUGAGUAACGCGUGGGUAACCUGCCCUAUACACACGGAUAACAUACCGAAAGGUAUGCUAAUACGAGAUGACAUAAGAGAUUCGCAUGGAUUUCUUAUCAAAGCUUUUGCGGUAUAGGAUGGACCCGCGUCUGAUUAGCUAGUUGGUAAGGUAACGGCUUACCAAGGCGACGAUCAGUAGCCGACCUGAGAGGGUGAUCGGCCACAUUGGAACUGAGACACGGUCCAAACUCCUACGGGAGGCAGCAGUGGGGAAUAUUGCACAAUGGGCGAAAGCCUGAUGCAGCAACGCCGCGUGAGCGAUGAAGGCCUUCGGGUCGUAAAGCUCUGUCCUCAAGGAAGAUAAUGACGGUACUUGAGGAGGAAGCCCCGGCUAACUACGUGCCAGCAGCCGCGGUAAUACGUAGGGGGCUAGCGUUAUCCGGAAUUACUGGGCGUAAAGGGUGCGUAGGUGGUUUCUUAAGUCAGAGGUGAAAGGCUACGGCUCAACCGUAGUAAGCCUUUGAAACUGAGAAACUUGAGUGCGGGAGAGGAGAGUAGAAUUCCUAGUGUAGCGGUGAAAUGCGUAGAUAUUAGGAGGAAUACCAGUUGCGAAGGCGGCUCUCUGGACUGUAACUGACACUGAGGCACGAAGCGUGGGGAGCAAACAGGAUUAGAUACCCUGGUAGUCCACGCCGUANACGAUGAGUACUAGCUGUCGGAGNUUACCCCCUUCGG
This 756-nucleotide ribosomal RNA is filed under the name uncultured bacterium. RNAcentral's name for it is "bacterial SSU rRNA". It matches the Rfam family "Bacterial small subunit ribosomal RNA", at positions 57 to 843 of the family's 1533-position model. The record is from RNAcentral.